RNAcentral lists this ribosomal RNA (1209 nucleotides) under Triticum aestivum (bread wheat). RNAcentral describes it as "partial small subunit ribosomal RNA". Lineage: Eukaryota; Viridiplantae; Streptophyta; Magnoliopsida; Poales; Poaceae. The record is from RNAcentral.
AUGUUAACCGCGCUUUUGAAUGGUGAACUGAAAGAGGAGGUUUACGUCGCUCAACCCCUUGGAUUUGAGAUCAAAGGGCAUGAGCAAAAGGUUCUGAAGCUGCACAAAGCCCUCUAUAGCUUAAAGCAAGCGCCUAGAGCAUGGAAGGAGAAACUAGACAGAGCUUUGAUUGAUUUGGGAUUUGAGAAAUGUCCACUUGAGCAUGCAAUGUACAGAAGCGAAAAACUUGCUAUUGGAGUAUAUGUGGAUGAUCUUAUAAUCACAGGACCAAACUCAACUGAAAUAGAAAAAUUGAAGGAGCAAAUGAAGAACAUGUUCAGUAUGAGUGACUUGGGGCUCCUGAGUUAUUAUCUUGGCAUAGAAGUGAAGCAAUUGUCAAAUGGAUUUAUUCUGAAUCAAUCUAGUUAUGUGGGCAUGAUCUUAGAGAAAAGUGGGAUGAUUGACUGUUACUCUGCUCAAACCCCCAUGGAAGCCCGCCUGCACUUGAGCAAGUCCAGCAUCUGCAAGCCAGUUGAUCCAACAAUGUAUCGCAGUAUUAUUGGGAGCCUGAGGUACCUGACACAUACUCAUCCCGAUAUAACUUAUGCAGUGGGCAAAGUUAGCACGUAUAUGGAGAAGCCUGCGGCAGAUCAUUUGGCUGCUGUUAAGCACAUCCUGCGGUACAUAAAAGGUACGCUGAAUCUUUGUUGUUUCUAUGGAAGAGAAGAAGGAAUUACCAUGCAGCUGUGUGGAUGCAGUGAUAGUGAUCAUGGUGGUGAUGUGGACGAUCGAAAGAGCACCUCUGGAGUAAUAUUCUACCUCAACUUGAGCCCUGUGAGUUGGACAUCGCAGAAGCAGAAAGUAGUUGCGACAUCUUCUUGUGAAGUAGAGUAUGUUGCUGCUGCUUCGAACACCUCUCAGGCAGUGUGGCUGAGCAGAUUGGUUGCAAGUCUGACAGGAGAUGAGGCGAAUCAGGUGACACUGAAGGUGGACAACCAGUCGGCUAUUGCAUUAAGCAAAAACCCGGUGCACCACCAAAGGAGCAAACAUAUUGAUAUUAUGUACCAUUAUGUUCGUGAAUGUGUCGAGAAUGGAACCAUAGCAGUUGAACAUGUGCACACAGUUGAUCAGCUAGCUGAUGUGUUGACGAAGCCACUUGGAAAGCUGAAGAUUUUGGAGCUCAGAGACAGAAUUGGGAUGCGCACACUUGAGCAGAUACUACAAGGUUAA